Molecule: unclassified non-coding RNA, 437 nt
Filed under: Zea mays
Lineage: Eukaryota; Viridiplantae; Streptophyta; Magnoliopsida; Poales; Poaceae
Description: misc RNA Zm00001eb310210
Source: RNAcentral
GCUUUCGUCCAGUGCAGGAAUGGGUCGGUGACGAGCAGGCUCGCUGGCGGCUGCAUCUCAGCGAGGGAUGCGUCGAGCUGUGGCUGGAGCAGGGACGUUGCGUCGGCGAAGACGGCAAAGGAGACCAGGGACGUGAGCCCCUCGGCGCUCUCGACGCCCGGAGGGAUGCCCGCGAUGUCGGUCGGGAAGGUGAGCUCGACGACGGCCGCGUCCGCACCGGACAGCCCCUCCAGGACGAAGCCUGCGUUGCCGGCGGUGGUAAAGAAGGUGAUGGUGGCAAGGCCGUAGCGGUGGAGGUAGUGGGCGAGGUGGAUGAGCGGGAUGGUGUGGCCCUUGGCGAGGAACGGGAAUAUGGCGAUGUGAGGGAGCGUGUGGGUCUCAGCCUCUGGAGACGAAGAGACUGCAGUCUGCAGCCAUUACUAACGCAGAAACGCGAC